This 351-nucleotide ribosomal RNA is filed under the name Triticum aestivum (bread wheat). RNAcentral's name for it is "partial small subunit ribosomal RNA". Lineage: Eukaryota; Viridiplantae; Streptophyta; Magnoliopsida; Poales; Poaceae. The record is from RNAcentral.
GAAGAUGAACUUCCGUCGAGGACGACUUCAUUUCAAGAAGGGGAGGAUGAUGAGGACAUCAAUACAAUUGUUACACCCACAGCCCCUGCUGCUAUACAUACUGGACCAAUUACUAGAGCUCGUGCACGCCAACUAAAUUACCAGGUACUUUCGUUUCUUGGUAAUGAUUCUAAUGUUCAUGAGAUUAUGAUGCUGCCUAAAUUGGAUACAUUUGUUUUGCUUACAAAUAAAGGGCCUAGCUUGGAGAAGGAUGAACAUUGGAGCAAGAACAAGCAUGGAGAUGAUGGCAUGCGCAAGGGGAACAAGAACGGAGUUACAAGUCAUGAUUUCAGGACUUUGAAGCCACCAUAA